This is a long non-coding RNA of Acanthochromis polyacanthus (spiny chromis), 413 nucleotides long. RefSeq lists it as uncharacterized. The transcript is spliced from 3 exons. The record is from RefSeq and is a predicted model, not a curated record. Lineage: Eukaryota; Metazoa; Chordata; Actinopteri; Pomacentridae.
AGUGUAGGUGAAAGCCACAGUAGUCUGACAGAUGAACAUUCAGAUCAUUCCACUUCAUCAUGGCUGGACGCCUGCUGCUGGUUGUUGCUCUGACAUUUUCAGGUUCCUUUAAUGUGGUCAAAGCUGGAGCUCUUCCUCCACCUGAACUCACAGUGAAUCCAUUGGUGAUCACAGAGACAGACUCAGUCACAUUGAACUGUGUGGCGCCACCAUCUGUUUCUGUGUCUCGGUGUCAUUUCUUCAUUGCAACACAAGAAACAUCCAAAAAUGUGUGUGUGGAGACACUGACAGGAACCAAGCUGCUGGAGAUGACACGUAAGCGUUCACCUGCUGAGGUUGAAGUCAGAUGUUAUAUCGUACAGUCUGACGCGAUUCAUUCUACAUCUCCAGACAGUAAAACAUCCACCAUCAUC